GGGUCAAUGAUGAGAACUGAUCAUCGUGAAGACAAAUGGUGACAAAAAAAUCAUGUCCAAUAGGAUUAUGUUGAGGACU
Choloepus didactylus (southern two-toed sloth) is the source of this 79-nucleotide small nucleolar RNA. RefSeq annotates it as small nucleolar RNA SNORD115. The transcript has a single exon. The record is from RefSeq and is a predicted model, not a curated record. Lineage: Eukaryota; Metazoa; Chordata; Mammalia; Pilosa; Megalonychidae.